CACAUGGGUACCUACCUUUCAGUGAGGAAUACCGGCGAGAAAUCGCCGACAAGACCGCAUGGGCUUGGGGGAUGGAGACACCCGCAAGCAAAGCCCCGCAAGGGGCGCUGGAAGCUGGGCCUGUGGCCGAUUAGCUAGUUGGUGGGGUAAGCGCUCACCAAGGCGACGAUCGGUAGCUGGUCUGAGAGGACGAGCAGCCACACUGGGAUUGAGAACGGCCCAG
Molecule: ribosomal RNA, 223 nt
Filed under: uncultured bacterium
Lineage: Bacteria
Description: partial 16S ribosomal RNA
Rfam family: Bacterial small subunit ribosomal RNA
Source: RNAcentral